CAUCCCCAUCCCUCCCCUUCCUCCUCUUUCUCUCUCCUCCAAGUAAAACCCUAAUAUUUCAACCUCGGCCCAUUUAAAGUAAAAAACACAAGCAUCAAUUUCUUCGGCAAACAAACAGAGCCACUUCUUUCAUAUAUCCUUCAAUUUCAUCAUCCGUGGGCUGUUUAUUAAUUCUCUUCUUUUACGCAUUAAUUCCAUUUUGCUCUAAGACAAUUCAAAUCUCCCCUUCUCUUUGCACCAGAUCAUCAUCAAAAUCCAGAGCUAGCUUAUAAAGCCAUUAAUGGCUACUUUUUGAAAUCAAUCUCUCAAUUAUUUUUGGCUUUUGUUUUUGCUGAUUCUCUUAAAUAAUACUCCAC
RNAcentral lists this long non-coding RNA (356 nucleotides) under Panax ginseng (ginseng). Its description in RNAcentral is "long non-coding RNA (PGIN_LNC019101)". Lineage: Eukaryota; Viridiplantae; Streptophyta; Magnoliopsida; Apiales; Araliaceae. The record is from RNAcentral.